Schistosoma curassoni is the source of this 78-nucleotide non-coding RNA. NCBI's taxonomy places the organism in Eukaryota, Metazoa, Platyhelminthes, Trematoda, Strigeidida, Schistosomatidae. The record is from Rfam.
AGCUUUCCGAAUCUAUGCUGAGAUUUCGUCGGACACCAACCCAUUCAGGCUGAUCAGACUUCCAAGAUAAGUGAAGUU